Rosa chinensis is the source of this 420-nucleotide long non-coding RNA. RefSeq lists it as uncharacterized. The record is from RefSeq and is a predicted model, not a curated record. Lineage: Eukaryota; Viridiplantae; Streptophyta; Magnoliopsida; Rosales; Rosaceae. The transcript is spliced from 3 exons.
AGAGAGAGAGAGAGAGAGGUGAUAUUCAGAGGCUUUGCGUCAUUGCUCCGCAAAAAUACAGAGAGGGUGAGAGAGGUGAAGAACGAUAGGGAGAGCGAGGGUCUCCUUCUUUGCUCAGAAAUUUUCAAUCUUGAGGAAAUUUGGGAAUCGUGGCGCCUGGUGGAGCUGUUGAGGGAAUCCAGGGCUUCGCAAGUAAAACAAAUACACAGUCAUGGAUUUUGCAAGUGAUUUCCGUCGGGCUCCGCUUCUUUCGACUAAUACGAAUUUUAUAGCCGAUAUUGUGAGUUCUCUUUGGCCGGCCAACAACUAAUGGACCACAGAGACGAAGCCUAUCUGAGAUACUCAGUUUCCCGAGUCUAUCAUAUUAAAGCUGUCGGCUACUUCAUCCCUGUACAAAUGUUUCUGUCAUGCUCCUCAUUG